GUUGCCGUAGCCAUGUGGUUAAGGCGAUAGACUUGAACUCUUUUGGGAUAUUCUCUCGCAGGUUCGAGUCCUGCCGACGACG
RNAcentral lists this transfer RNA (82 nucleotides) under Dreissena polymorpha. It matches the Rfam family "tRNA". From Rfam's summary of the family: Transfer RNA (tRNA) molecules are approximately 80 nucleotides in length. Their secondary structure includes four short double-helical elements and three loops (D, anti-codon, and T loops). Further hydrogen bonds mediate the characteristic L-shaped molecular structure. tRNAs have two regions of fundamental functional importance: the anti-codon, which is responsible for specific mRNA codon recognition, and the 3' end, to which the tRNAs corresponding amino acid is attached (by aminoacyl-tRNA synthetases). tRNAs cope with the degeneracy of the genetic code in two manners: having more than one tRNA (with a specific anti-codon) for a particular amino acid; and 'wobble' base-pairing, i.e. permitting non-standard base-pairing at the 3rd anti-codon position. Lineage: Eukaryota; Metazoa; Mollusca; Bivalvia; Myida; Dreissenidae. The record is from Rfam by way of RNAcentral.